GUCUACAGCCAUGCCACCCUGAACAUGCCCAAUCUCGUCUGAUCUCGGAAACUAAGCAGGGUCUGGGUAGUACUUGGAUAGGAGACCACCUAGGAAGACCAGGUGCUGUAGGCA
RNAcentral lists this ribosomal RNA (114 nucleotides) under Pteropus alecto (black flying fox). The record is from RNAcentral. Lineage: Eukaryota; Metazoa; Chordata; Mammalia; Chiroptera; Pteropodidae.